This is a non-coding RNA of Taeniopygia guttata (zebra finch), 7082 nucleotides long. The record is from RefSeq and is a predicted model, not a curated record. NCBI's taxonomy places the organism in Eukaryota, Metazoa, Chordata, Aves, Passeriformes, Estrildidae.
AGAAAGAGGAAAAGAAUAGCAGGCAAGUUCAAUUCAUGGCUCAAGAUUACAAAACAGGACACACAGGUGGAAGGAAAGAGCUUCUCUAAGGACCCUCUGUUGAGAGAAUACAUUCCAUUUUUAAUCGUUUAUGCAACAAAAAAAAAUAAAAAAAUGACAUGGCGCGGCAGGUUCCCUCACAGCUCCCAACAAGGUCGCUUGCGACAAAUCCACGAAAAAGUCGCCGCAUUUAAAUAACGGAGAGGAAGUUUGGGGCAGUGACGGAAUUAUUUUCAUUGUUUCAACGAGAAGGAAUGCAGAAAUAAGAGCAGGAAUCCGCCGCUCGCCGCCGGCCCCUGGCACAAAGCGUGCGGCAGCGGCGGCAGCAGCGAGGCGCUGCCUCCCCGCCCCCUCCGCCAGCCCCGCCGAUGGAGAAAAACCCCCGAGUGGCCAAAAAAGCAGGUAAAAAACGGUAAAAACUCACCGUUGGGAAGCGGGGCAGGCUCCGGUCACGGCGCUGGGAAGGGCCGGGCAGUGCCCGCAGCGGGCGGGGUGCCCGGCGGGCUUUGACACCCGAGCGGUGCGGGUGUGCGCAGCUGGGCGAGCCGCUGGCGGUCUUAAACAUCAUCUUUUCUUUUUUUUUUUGUUAAAAAAAUAUAGGGAAUAUAGGGAAAAGCGAGAAAAAAAAAUUAAAAAAAAAAGAGGUUGGGGGGGGGGGGGUUGGUUGGUUGGUGGGGGGGUGGGGGGAGGAAAGGAAAAGGAACCGAAUUCCUCCGCAGCUCCGCUCGCUGCCGCCCUCCGCGCUCCCCGGCAAUGCCGCCGCCGCCGCCGCUGUUGUUAUUAUUAUUAUGAUGAAGAGACGGGGCUGCUGGGGGGCUGCGGGAGCCGGGGCCAGCCCGGUGCCGGAGCGAGCCCCAGACUGUCAGCGGGGAGGAGGAGGAGGAGGAGGAGGAGGAGGAGGUGGUGGAGGAGGAGGAGGAGGAGGAGGAGGAGGAGGAGGGAGGAAGGGCGCGGGCAGCAGCAGCAGCGCCGCAGCCCCGGCCGCCCUCCCCUGCCAGCCGCCGGCCGGGGCUUCAAAGGAAAACCUGGAGAAAAAGCGGCUGGCCCGGGAGAGGAGGGUGCGAGCACACACAGCACACGGCACACACACACAAAGGGACUCCAUCCUGCACCGACUCCUCUCCCCGAGCACCUUGUGCACCCCCAGCCAAUGGAAAUUUACGCCGGCCAUAACCCAGAGCAGGAUCUCGUCCCCAGCUUGCCACCUCCUUCCCUCCGCUCUUCUCCCCCUUCCCUCCCUCCCUUUCCUCCCUCUUUCCCCCCCCACCCCCCCGCCCAAAUAAAUAAUACGGAUCCGCACCCUCCACCCAGCUCUGGAACCGCUUUAGGCCCAGCGGCAUAAGCGGGGAGAGGCGAAACGUACCGGAGGGCCGAGGUUAAAAAUGCAGAAUAUCCGGCGCUGCCGAGGGCAGGUCCCCCCCGGCCCGGCCCCGCCGCCGCCCGGCCGGGGGCAGCGGUAACAGGCACCAUUACGGAACCAUCAUCAUCAUCAUCAUCAUCAUCAUUCACUCCGUCCUUUUCUCACCUCAGGAGUCUGAGCCCAUUCACCAAAGUCCUUCCUCGUCCAGGAGCUCAAAUAUUUUCUCUUUUUUUUUUUCUUUUUUUUUUUUUUUUUCUCCUUCUGGAUCAGCCAGUCCCGACAUCAUUAAACUAUAGUCCUCCUCUUCCUCCUCCUUCCUUCUCCCCCUCUCUGUCUCCCCCUCUCUUUUUUUUUUCUUUUUAUUUCAAAAAAGGGGGAGUGGGGGGGUGGCUGGGGGGUGUGGGGGGGAAGCAGACAUAGCUGCAUGAAGUGGCUGCCUUUUCGAAAGCACAUUUAAUCUUUCCUGGCUCCCCUAGGCUUCGAUGAAUUAGAAGGGAAAGGAGAGGAGAGGGGGAAAGAAAAAAUCCAGGCAAGGGAGGCUGUUGAGGGACAGCAAGCAUCAGGCUCAAAUCAACGACCAGAUGAAAAUGUACUAGACCACACUGCCCCCUCUCUUCCUCUCGCUCUGUCUCCUCUCUCACACACUCUCACUCCUGGAAAGCUUCAGUGUCUGGUUACAGACUCUUUUGGAUCCUUCCCCCCCGCUCCCCACCCUCGCCCUUUGCCAACUAUCCUAGAGAUUCCUUGCAUGCCUACUUAAAUCUUUAACAGAAUAAGGACCCGGCUCCCCCCGCCGCCAGCCCCGCAUCACUCGCACACUCUCACACACUCUCACACACACUCACACACACUCACACACACUCACACACUCUCACACACACUCACACACUCCACUGCCGGUCACCCUUCCCAAUAAUAAUCUCUUAAGCUGCCGGCACAAUCCCGCCGGCGCAUCCCCGGCCCCGCCGCAUCCCCGCCGGGUACCAUCCCCGGCACCCUCCGGGCGGCCGCUCCCGCUUCCCUCCGCCUUCCCGAGGGGGUGCAGGGGGCUGGAGAGGGGAGCAGCCCUUCUCCUGGCAUCCCUGCGGCUGGCGGUGGGUUUUAAAACAAUAAAAGCCGGCGCUGGCUCUCGCGGGUGCCCCCGCUCCCCCCCGCCGCAGCCGCCCGUGGAAAUCGCACGCCCCACGUCUGCAGUGAGCAGGCAGACUGCCUCAUGCCCGUGAUGACUUUAGAGCUGACAACCUCCUCUCCUCGACCCCCCCUUCCCCUCCACACCCACCCCUGCGCUCAAUGGCAGCGCUGCUGCCUCUCGCACCAGACUAUAUUUGCAAUAUGUGCUAAUUUACCAGCUAUAUGCCCUUGGAUUUUAAAAUGAACUCAUCAGUCAAUGUUUCUAGUAGCGAUGCUCCCUCUCUCUGCCUCUCACACACCCUCCACUGCAGACAUGUUACUCAUUCUGCAAGCAUUUCCUCCCCGAAUGUCCGUCAGACGCAUAUACACUUCAUUGAUCAAACCAAAUCCCCUGAUAACAAUAAAUAAUAAUACAGACAGUUAACAUCAGCGGGGAGUGGAGCGGGGGGGCGCGGGGGGAGAGACAAAGAUGACGACUAAAUCUGCAUUGUGCUUCAGGAGGCUGAGCCCUGCCUUUCCCAGGGAUGCUCCGCACAAUGCGGGGCGCAGGUAGCCCCAAAACCUCACCCCGGGGCCUUCCCCAGCCCCCCGUUUGCCCAAACCUUGGGGAUGGUGAUGUUUAAUACCUGAACCCACACAGGCUUCAAAAGGUGUUUGUAGGAACAGAAAGUGGAUGUGGCUGUGGAGGAGAGGAAGCACCUCACGCAAAAUCCAGCAAUAAAUCCAGGCAGUUUCUUUGUUACGCCGAGCACCGCACAGACGCUCAGGAAUUAAAGGUAUCCGUGCACCCAAAGACACAGGGAUUUCCAGAAACACCUUUCAGCUCCCCCUGAAAUCCCUUUCCUUUGUACUGAAGGCAGGGAUCACCUAUGCAAGACACCAGGUUGGGAAGAAGGGCUGUUAAACAUCCCUCUGCCUGAUAUUUCAGGGGCUUUAGGGCUGCUGUGCCUUCAUUUCCCAGUUUUCUGGGGCUGAAGCAGGGGAGGCAGGAAUUUGGGAUUGCCCUUUGGGAUUUUGGCUGGUUACACAGCUUGUGUGGGUCUGGCAAGGAGAAAGUGGCUGCAGUGUGAGCGUUCGGGAAGUUGGGCAGGGUGGGGCUAUCUAGAAAUCUUUGACUCACUGGGGUAACUCCCUGAGCACAGGAAUGAAAUUAUUGCUCCAAGCAAACUGCGUUUUAUGAGCAGCAGCCUCAGAAUGAAAUUCUGCAUGCGCACAGAGCUGGGGACAGCUAAAAUGAACGCAUGGAAACAAAUAUAUAGCCCGUAAUUAAAUUAUUGGGUGCAAUGCAGAAGUCUCUGGGUGAUGGAAGAGGUGGGAUUAUGCAGCAAAGUCAGUUUAGGAAUGCACGGGUACAAAUUUUCUUAUUUAUACCGCCAUAAUCCUGAGUGGCAUCAGCCUAGAUAAGGGAAGAAUCAAACCUGUGUAGUGAAGGAUCUAAUCUUUGGGAAAAGUAGUCUGGAUUAGUGACUGUAUCUGCCAGCCACCCUUUCACUCCCUUUAGAGUCCCUCACCACCACUGCAAUUUUUUGCCAUCACGCAGAGCAUUUCACAUCCAUUGUCUCCUGAUCUUCCUUCCCAAUAAAAAAUGUUUGAUUUUUUUUUUUCCCAAAGUUUUGUAGCAAACAUACAAUUUCUUUAUACACUUUAGCCAAGCCUUUGGAGGAUACUUAUUUCAAGCAGUUAACACCUGACCCCAAUUUUUGUGGGUAAUUAGUGAGCUAGAUAACCACACAAAGUGGGUAAUUAUUUAGUACCCAAGGGUACUGUACAAGAGGGUAGAGGCUGACGGUGUUAACAAAAGCACAUCCCUAAUUAUUGUAUCCAUCCUGAUGUUUUUAAGAAUGGUUACUUCCACCUAAUGAUCCAUGAUAAAUCAGAAAACUCUUCUGCCUCCCUUGGAUGGGAUAACCAAGGGCAGGAAGGGAGGGCAAAGCCAACGGAAGGCACAACUUCAAUUUGUGCGAGCUCCAAGGGAAAAGAGAGGAAUCCCCUUGGAUAAGGCAAUGAUAACCAUCCCUAAAAGCCAUCAGGCAGGUGUCAGAGGAGGGUGCCAGACUGCUUUGGUGAGAGGAAAAGGAGCAACAGCCACAAAGGAAAAUUCAACAAGUUCCAUCUCAACCCUGAGGCUGCCCUGGGAGGUUUUUGGGUUCUCCCUGCCUGGAGCCAUCCUGGAUGUGUCCCUGUGUCCCUGCUGCAGGUGACCCUGCCUGGGGCUGGGGGAUCUCCAGAGCUCCAAAUGCUCUGGGAUUCUGAGAAAAAAAAUAAAAAAUUGGUUUAAUCAGCAGCAGCAGGUGAUAAAGAAGUAUUAGCUGGAAACAGAUCCAAAGCCUGGAACACAGAGCCCCCAUCCCCUGAGCACUUCACACUCACUUAAGGACAUCCUCAACCAAGACAUUCUGCUCAGAGGAAAAGCACUUUCCUCUUUUAAUUGCUUUUAUGAAUCACCACCGAGGUCCAGACACUUCAUUUACUGGACUCCAGCAACCCUGUUUGCAAAAACUCAAAUUCCAAAAUGUUAAAGGCCUCCAGGCUGGCAAAAAUAAUAAAAUAAAAAAAUAAUAAUAAAAUUAAAAUAAUAAAAAAAAUAGAGGUGUCAUUCUGUGUGGUUUGAUCCCAACUUUGCAUUUAACUCAACUUGCUGCUCUGGGCCAGGCACUACACAAAAACCCCACAACUGGCAGCAUCACCUGGCCCUGUGACCACCAGGAAUUCAGAAUUUAAACAGAGAAAGUUUGAGGGGUUUCCACAACUUCUCAUAUAUCUCUGUUGUUCUGUGGUUUGUCUUUUUUUUUUUUUUUUUUCUGGAGUGAAAUAACCACAACAGAAAGAGGCCUGAAAAUUGUUCUCAUAUUUAAAAAGGGGCCAAGUCUCUGCAGUCCAUUUGUAAAUAAAUAUAAAUAAAAUUGGUAUCCCCUCCACUAAUGCUCUCAGGGAUGUGGUUUGCAGGAAAUUCUUGCAGAAAUGGAGUGAAAGUUUGCAGAGAGAAGCUGGAAAACAGAAAGGAAGAAUGAAUUUAAUCAUGGAGACAGGAUCAAAGGAAGGAGAGUCCUUGGUAGGUGCUGUUGUAGCAGAAAGUAGAAUAAAUACAAACUAUUACAAUUUUUUUCCCCCUCAGAUCAAUUGGAAUUAGCAAUUCAAAGGGGAAGACACAGGAGAAGGGAUGUUCAGCAGGGAGGAAGCUUUAGGGACUUCAGCAUUAACUCUAAAACCUUGAGGCCUUUCUGAGACCAGUCAAUAACUUCACUCUGAGCCAAGUGGACAGAGAUCAUUUAGGAAAUAUCUUUAAAAUAACGCUUAGAGCUCAGCUGUAAGGACAGCAUACAUGAGAAUAGUCUCCAAAUUAAUAAAAUGUCUUCGGUAAUAGAAAUCAAGAAUUCGAAUGAUGUGAGGAAAGGUAAAAUUCAGAGUGGAAAGCAAAACUGGGCGAAGUUGUCAUGAUUUAGCCAUUUCCAGAAUGGUGCUCUUGACAACCAAAAGCUUCUCAUUGGAGGCUCACUGUUUUGCAGAGCAGUUGCACAGCAAAUCACUGAUAAAAUCAACAUUCUGUAAAAAUACAGAACCAUCAGGACAACACUUACCACAUCCCUGGUGGGUUGUGGAUCCUUGGAAGAAGCUUCAGUGUCCAGAUUGAUUUUGUCACCCUCGUCUCAUCCCCUGGCAUUCAACAGAGAGGACAGAGCGUGGUUCAGAAUCAUCCCAGGUCCAUUUCAGCACCACCAAAUCCUUUUCACCCAGCAACUUUCCCCUCCAAACCAGCAGAUUUUGCCUCCCCCAAGCAUUAAAAAGUGGUGGUUGGAUUUUCCCCCCACCCUUCAGUUCUGCCAACAGGUUCUCCUUGAGCCUCAACUCCACCCCUCCCUGGAUAACGGGGAAAAAUUGACAUAAUAAAGGUGAGAAAGCCAUAAAAUGAUUGGAUCUUAAGCAAGGGAAAAGGAAAGUGAGGCAGUGGGAAAAGACCUGGGACUCUGCACUCACUGAAACCAGGAUUAGGGAAAAGGGAAGAAUUCAACAAAAGGUCAGCCAAUAUCACAGAGGGAUUUGGAGAGAAAGGUCACAAAGACUGAUUCAUCCAAAAUCAGAGAGGUGGAAACACCGUACCCCGAAUUUCUGUUUUGUCUGCCCUGAUCCCGAGUUCUCCUAAAACCAGAUGGAUUUAACCAAUUUGAAAUUCAAGGUGAACCCCAAAAUUACAUGGAUGAAGCCACACAAAGAAUGAUUACAUCACUCUGGCAUGAUCUGCCAAUUCCAUCUCACAUAAAGCACCCAAACCCCUCAGAUUUCACGUGGGUUCAGGGCCACCAAAAGUUUAAGACGCGAUUAAUUCAGAACACAAAAAAAUCUCCAAGAAGCUCACUUUUAUUUCUCUUAUUAUAAUUAUUAUUAUUCUCUUAUUUCACUCUUAAGCUCAAUCUUAUUUAAUAAAUCUAACCUGUUUUGGGGAUAUAAUUUCUUAAGAUUUGAGGUUUCACCCUGAAAUCUGGCAAAAUUUUGAAAUACAUCAGUUACUAAGAGAUGGAGCUGUAGGAAUAUGUUACCCUACAAGGCUGACACA